AAGCUGAAUCCUUGCCUCUGCUGAGUCCCCAAACCUCAGAACAUGCUGAGCCUCUCAACACUCUCCCUGAACCACCUGAGGCUGUGAUUUUGCUUGUUUUCAGGCUAAAUCUCCAACUGCAGAAGAGCUAAAGCAGGAGUUUGGCAGAAGUGUAAAUAGUUUUCAAAUCAGAAGCUCCCACAUGCAAAAUUGUGCCCACUUUAGUUUCUGUUUUCUCCAGCAUGGUUGCUGUCAUCCCCUGGAGGGUUUGGAUCCUAUUUUCUGAUUCCCCUUGACAAUUUUUUUGCCCAGCACAGACACAGCUUCUAAGGAGGGGACGACCCAACCCUGUUGCUUCAUUUGGCACUGCCGAUCUAAUGAGGUGUAAAUCCCACAGAUGCUCCUCAGGGCGGCCGGCAUAGUAAUUUAUAUCAAUUGGUGUGAUUAGAGGAAGCCCUCAAUCAUCCCGCAGUGUCUCAUUGCAAUCCGUCAUAGUCCUAAUCAGACGCACUUCACCCUGGCUUUGUGCUGGGUUGAAUAUAUGCUUUCCUGGGCCCUGCUCAAGAGCCCAAAUAUUAGAGAAAGGGACUCGAGGAGAUAGAAUGUGACCCAUGAUCACCUCCCAGGAAUGAGGAUGCUUCCUCCCCUUCACCCAGGAGGGCACUGGCCAAGAGCUCACAAAUGUGAGCUCAAACCCAAACUCCUUGGUUGCGAGUCCCUGGCCCUGCCCCUGAUAGGCUGGUUUCCUUAGACAAGUGACUCCAUCUCUGGUGUCUCAGUCAUUCAUCUGUAAGAUGGGGUGAUAAUAAUGCUACAGUCCUCCUAUCAUUGUUGGAAGGAUUAAAUGAAUUAAUAUUUGCUUGGAAACAUACCUGGCACAAGUAAGUAAAUUCUCUUAUAUUUUUCUGUCCAUUCCAAAAGGGCUCUGAGAAGUCUUCCAAUGAAGAUACACAAAGACCAGUAAAAUGAAGAUACACAAAGACAAGUAAACUGAAGACUGAGGAAUUCAAGAACCACAUAAGGAAAGGGGCUCCUCAUGAUACCAAGUGGCUGCCACAACUCUUGCCUAAGAUGCUUUCAGGAACAAUUUCCUCAUGCCAAAUAUAUACUCAGUUGUUGCUGCUGCUGCUGCCAAGUCGCUUCAAUCGUGUCCAACUCUGUGUGACCCCAUAGACGGCAGCCCACCAGG
Bubalus bubalis (water buffalo) is the source of this 1168-nucleotide long non-coding RNA. RefSeq lists it as uncharacterized. NCBI's taxonomy places the organism in Eukaryota, Metazoa, Chordata, Mammalia, Artiodactyla, Bovidae. The transcript has 3 exons. The record is from RefSeq and is a predicted model, not a curated record.